Heterocephalus glaber (naked mole-rat) is the source of this 144-nucleotide small nuclear RNA. Its record names the gene U2. It matches the Rfam family "U2 spliceosomal RNA". From Rfam's summary of the family: U2 is a small nuclear RNA (snRNA) component of the spliceosome (involved in pre-mRNA splicing). NCBI's taxonomy places the organism in Eukaryota, Metazoa, Chordata, Mammalia, Rodentia, Bathyergidae. The record is from Ensembl.
AUCGCUUCUCGGCCUUUUGGCUAAGAUCAAAUGUAGUAACAUUUGAGAAUUUGAGAAAUUUUUUUUACUAAGUGAAAUUGUACUUGAAUAUAUUUAAAGAAAUAGUAUGUCAAGAGCUAUGUUUUCUUAAUAUGCUUACCCCUA